This 575-nucleotide ribosomal RNA is filed under the name uncultured bacterium. Its description in RNAcentral is "bacterial SSU rRNA". It matches the Rfam family "Bacterial small subunit ribosomal RNA", at positions 229 to 801 of the family's 1533-position model. The record is from RNAcentral.
GCAUGCGUUCCAUUAGAUAGUUGGUGAGGUAACGGCUCACCAAGUCCACGAUGGAUAGGGGUUCUGAGAGGAAGGUCCCCCACACUGGUACUGAGACACGGACCAGACUCCUACGGGAGGCAGCAGUGAGGAAUAUUGGUCAAUGGGCGAGAGCCUGAACCAGCCAAGUCGCGUGAAGGAUGAAGGAUCUAUGGUUUGUAAACUUCUUUUAUAUGGGAAUAAAGUGAGGAACGUGUUCCUUUUUGUAUGUACCAUAUGAAUAAGCAUCGGCUAACUCCGUGCCAGCAGCCGCGGUAAUACGGAGGAUGCGAGCGUUAUCCGGAUUUAUUGGGUUUAAAGGGUGCGUAGGUGGUUAAUUAAGUCAGCGGUGAAAGUUUGUGGCUCAACCAUAAAAUUGCCGUUGAAACUGGUUGACUUGAGUAUAUUUGAGGUAGGCGGAAUGCGUGGUGUAGCGGUGAAAUGCAUAGAUAUCACGCAGAACUCCGAUUGCGAAGGCAGCUUACUAAACUAUAACUGACACUGAAGCACGAAAGCGUGGGGAUCAAACAGGAUUAGAUACCCUGGUAGUCCACGCA